UUAAUAUUUGACUGUUUUCAGUCAUCUUGCAGCUUCUGGGACGAGCGGGAGCACGAAGUGCUUUGGCUGUUCGGCAACUCCGAGUGGCCACGGUACAGGGCAGGUGGCAUGGCGGCAGCCUACUUUCUUGUGCUCCUGGUCGAGUCUUGUGGAGAAGCAGGGAGAAUCGGGCAUCAUCUCACUUGUGCCUAUGUGGUGAAUGAGGUUUUCAAAUGUUGGAAGGAGGAGGACAAUAGGAACUUCUGUUAUGUCUUAGCAUCUAAAUUUUUGUUUUAAUUUUCUUUGUUGUAGAAUAGUUUUGUUUGGCAGUUACUGUUCCUGGGAUGUAAAGAUAUCUUAGAUAUGUAUUGCUGGAAUGAAUGGUUGUAAUAUAAUAACAUUGCACGUUGCCCAAGAUAGCUUGUGGUGUGAUGUGUUAUAAUGUCAAUGGCAUAAUAACUUCUUUUGGAAUCA
Molecule: non-coding RNA, 453 nt
Organism: Triticum urartu
Lineage: Eukaryota; Viridiplantae; Streptophyta; Magnoliopsida; Poales; Poaceae
Source: RefSeq, a predicted model, not a curated record